This 490-nucleotide ribosomal RNA is filed under the name uncultured bacterium. RNAcentral's name for it is "partial 16S ribosomal RNA". It matches the Rfam family "Bacterial small subunit ribosomal RNA", at positions 28 to 507 of the family's 1533-position model. The record is from RNAcentral.
GAUGAACGCUAGCGAUAGGCUUAACACAUGCAAGUCGAGGGGCAGCAUGGUCUUAGCUUGCUAAGACUGAUGGCGACCGGCGCACGGGUGCGUAACGCGUAUGCAACUUGCCUCACAGAGGGGGAUAACCCGUCGAAAGACGGACUAAUACCGCGUACACUCCAUCUUGGGCAUCCAAGGUAGAGGAAAUGAAAUUCGCUGUGAGAUAGGCAUGCGUCCCAUUAGCUAGUUGGUGAGGUAACGGCUCACCAAGGCGACGAUGGGUAGGGGAACUGAGAGGUUGAACCCCCACACUGGUACUGAGACACGGACCACACUCCUACGGGAGGCAGCAGUGAGGAAUAUUGGUCAAUGGGCGAGAGCCUGAACCAGCCAAGUCGCGUGAAGGAUGACUGUCUUAUGGAUUGUAAACUUCUUUUAUACGGGAAUAACAAGAGUCACGUGUGGCUCCCUGCAUGUACCGUAUGAAUAAGCAUCGGCUAACUCCGUG